GACGAACGCUGGCGGCGUGCUUAACACAUGCAAGUCGAACGGAAAGGCCCUGCUUUUGUGGGGUGCUCGAGUGGCGAACGGGUGAGUAACACGUGAGUAACCUGCCCUUGACUUUGGGAUAACUUCAGGAAACUGGGGCUAAUACCGGAUAGGAGCUCCUGCUGCAUGGUGGGGGUUGGAAAGUUUCGGCGGUUGGGGAUGGACUCGCGGCUUAUCAGCUUGUUGGUGGGGUAGUGGCUUACCAAGGCUUUGACGGGUAGCCGGCCUGAGAGGGUGACCGGCCACAUUGGGAAUGAGAUACGGCCCAGACGCCUACGGGAGGCAGCAGUGGGGAAUAUUGCACAAUGGGCGGAAGCCUGAUGCAGCAACGCCGCGUGCGGGAUGACGGCCUUCGGGUUGUAAACCGCUUUCGCCUGUGACGAAGCGUGAGUGACGGUAAUGGGUAAAGAAGCACCGGCUAACUACGU
This 467-nucleotide ribosomal RNA is filed under the name uncultured bacterium. RNAcentral's name for it is "partial 16S ribosomal RNA". It matches the Rfam family "Bacterial small subunit ribosomal RNA", at positions 28 to 506 of the family's 1533-position model. The record is from RNAcentral.